AGUUUGAUCCUGGCUCAGGAUGAACGCUAGCUACAGGCUUAACACAUGCAAGUCGAGGGGCAGCAUGAACUUAGCUUGCUAAGUUUGAUGGCGACCGGCGCACGGGUGAGUAACACGUAUCCAACCUGCCGAUGACUCGGGGAUAGCCUUUCGAAAGAAAGAUUAAUACCCGAUGGCAUAGUUCUUCCGCAUGGUAGAACUAUUAAAGGAUUUCGGUCAUCGAUGGGGAUGCGUUCCAUUAGGUUGUUGGCGGGGUAACGGCCCACCAAGCCUUCGAUGGAUAGGGGUUCUGAGAGGAAGGUCCCCCACAUUGGAACUGAGACACGGUCCAAACUCCUACGGGAGGCAGCAGUGAGGAAUAUUGGUCAAUGGACGAGAGUCUGAACCAGCCAAGUAGCGUGAAGGAUGACUGCCCUAUGGGUUGUAAACUUCUUUUAUACGGGAAUAAAGUGAGGCACGUGUGCCUUUUUGUAUGUACCGUAUGAAUAAGGAUCGGCUAACUCCGUGCCAGCAGCCGCGGUAAUACGGAGGAUCCGAGCGUUAUCCGGAUUUAUUGGGUUUAAAGGGAGCGUAGGCGGACGCUUAAGUCAGUUGUGAAAGUUUGCGGCUCAACCGUAAAAUUGCAGUUGAUACUGGGUGUCUUGAGUACAGUAGAGGCAGGCGGAAUUCGUGGUGUAGCGGUGAAAUGCUUAGAUAUCACGAAGAACUCCGAUUGCGAAGGCAGCCUGCUGGACUGUAACUGACGCUGAUGCUCGAAAGUGUGGGUAUCAAACAGGAUUAGAUACCCUGGUAGUCCACACAGUAAACGAUGAAUACUCGCUGUUUGCGAUAUACAGUAAGCGGCCAAGCGAAAGCGUUAAGUAUUCCACCUGGGGAGUACGCCGGCAACGGUGAAACUCAAAGGAAUUGACGGGGGCCCGCACAAGCGGAGGAACAUGUGGUUUAAUUCGAUGAUACGCGAGGAACCUUACCCGGGCUUGAAUUGCAACUGAAUGAUGUGGAGACAUGUCAGCCGCAAGGCAGUUGUGAAGGUGCUGCAUGGUUGUCGUCAGCUCGUGCCGUGAGGUGUCGGCUUAAGUGCCAUAACGAGCGCAACCCUUAUCGAUAGUUACCAUCAGGUGAUGCUGGGGACUCUGUCGAGACUGCCGUCGUAAGAUGUGAGGAAGGUGG
RNAcentral lists this ribosomal RNA (1170 nucleotides) under uncultured Bacteroides sp. RNAcentral describes it as "bacterial SSU rRNA". It matches the Rfam family "Bacterial small subunit ribosomal RNA", at positions 10 to 1176 of the family's 1533-position model. The record is from RNAcentral. Lineage: Bacteria; Pseudomonadati; Bacteroidota; Bacteroidia; Bacteroidales; Bacteroidaceae.